UAGAAAUUAUUAAUAGUAAAAUCUGCUCCAUGUUUAAUAAAUAGCCGCAAUUUGUGCUAAGGUAGCAUAAUCAUUUGUCUUUUAAAUGAAGACUAGAACAAAAGAUUUAACAUUUUCAGUUUAUUUUCCUAAUUUAUCCCAUCAAAUUUAUCCUAAAUGUAAAAAGACAUUUAUUCAAAAGAAAGACGAUAAGACCCUAUUGAACUUAACUGUAGUUAAACUGGGGCAGUAAAUUAAUUAUUAUUUUAAUAAAAUUUACUCCAUAAAUAUCUAAUAAAAUUAAAUAAUUCAGUUACCAUAGGGAUAACAGCGUAAUAAUCUUCUAAAGACCUUAUUUAAAAUAUAGAUUACGACCUCGAUGUUGAAUUAAUAACCUAAUUAAGGCAAAACUUAAAAAAGGAAGUCUGUUCGACUUUUAAAAAAUUACAUGAUUUGAGUUCAGACCGGUGUAAGCCAGGUCGGUUUCUAUCUUCUAAAAAAUUUUUUACAGUACGAAAGGACCUAAAAAUAUAAUA
Molecule: ribosomal RNA, 515 nt
Filed under: Habronattus anepsius
Lineage: Eukaryota; Metazoa; Arthropoda; Arachnida; Araneae; Salticidae
Description: partial 16S ribosomal RNA
Rfam family: Bacterial large subunit ribosomal RNA
Source: RNAcentral